Molecule: transfer RNA, 87 nt
Filed under: Hyphomicrobiales bacterium
Lineage: Bacteria; Pseudomonadati; Pseudomonadota; Alphaproteobacteria; Hyphomicrobiales
Description: Rhizobiales bacterium (beach sand metagenome) tRNA-Leu
Rfam family: tRNA
About the family: Transfer RNA (tRNA) molecules are approximately 80 nucleotides in length. Their secondary structure includes four short double-helical elements and three loops (D, anti-codon, and T loops).
Source: RNAcentral
GCGGGCGUGCUGGAAUUGGUAGACAGACCGGACUUAAAAUCCGUUGGGUGUAUGCCCGUGGGGGUUCGAGUCCCCCCGCCCGCACCA